ACUUAAAAUGAAUUACUUAUAAAUAUUUUAGUUUAAAUUUGAAUACUUUUUAUUCUCACAAAUAGAAAAGAACCAGCUAAGGGGCUAAAUUUGUCUAGUUUCAAUAGAUGGAUGGACUCCGUUAUUCGAUUUCGUGGAUGAAGGUUAAAAAUAGGAUUUUUGAGAAGUUUGAAAGUAUAAACCAAACUUUUCCAUUUUCCUUUUGAAAGUUCGUUAAAUCGAGUUACCAUUGCGCUCCCACCGCAUCGCUCUCUGCCGGCGUUGCGUUUGUGUACCGCAGGCUCCUCCUCCCCCUGCGCCGGCGCCGCCGCCCCGGUUUCGUCGCCCUAAACGCCGUCGCCUUCCCCUUCCAGGCGCGUUCACAAUUUCCACUACGGACUCCCUCACUUCCUCUCCUGGGCGGAGUGGCGAGAGGUCAAUUUCUCGCUUCGUUCUAAUUUCCAGCCCCGUUUCGAUACGGGCAUCCGGCAGUAGCUUGUGGUCCAUGUCGGGGCCAUCAGAUCGGCGACCUCCGUCGCCUCUUCACUCUCGGCGGGUGCGGGCCGGGGCUGAGGGCCCCGGGAGCUGCCAGCCUGCCAUGGAUGCCACGCGUUAUCUGAUUUCUGAGUGAUAACCCAGAUUCGACCUUGAGACUCAUUAAAGAUCGGAUGAUAUGUGAACAAACGCCAAGCACACACACAUGAGCGGUACUCCUGAAAUCUGGAGCUGACAGGUGAUGUGAUAAUUACUGACAUGAUGCCUGAUGGUGCAAUCAAGGGGUAUAUUCGUGAUGCUGCUUUGAUGGAUGGAAGGGAUACAACAAGAAAGCAUGUGACAUGCUAGCAUGAUUUGUGUAUGUGACACAACUUUAGGUCAUGUUUGAUCUGAAGGAGCAGAAGAAGCUAAUAUCACACGUUGCUGGAAAGAUUUGGUAAGUGGUGGAACAAGAAACUAAUUAUGUUGCUCAAACAAAUUUGUUCCAGCAUGUAUCUUCUGUGUUCUGUCUAUAAUAGCUGGGAACCAACUUUUGCUGGUUUCACUUACUAAGAGGACAUCUAUUUGCUGAAUUAGGAUCACAUGCUGAAUAAGAGUGGAUCGCUAAUGCAUAGGAAUGAAA
Molecule: long non-coding RNA, 1096 nt
Organism: Panicum virgatum (switchgrass)
Lineage: Eukaryota; Viridiplantae; Streptophyta; Magnoliopsida; Poales; Poaceae
Exons: 3
Source: RefSeq, a predicted model, not a curated record